RNAcentral lists this small RNA (176 nucleotides) under Streptomyces sp. RNAcentral describes it as "c-di-AMP sequence". It matches the Rfam family "c-di-AMP riboswitch aptamer (ydaO/yuaA leader)". Rfam says of the family: This family represents a conserved RNA structure found upstream of the ydaO and yuaA genes in Bacillus subtilis and related genes in other bacteria. The ydaO/yuaA element is thought to act as a genetic "off" switch for the ydaO and yuaA genes in its native state. Lineage: Bacteria; Bacillati; Actinomycetota; Actinomycetes; Kitasatosporales; Streptomycetaceae. The record is from RNAcentral.
GCCGCCCGGACGCCAGGUCGACACGGAGUGGAUCGGCGGGAGUGGAGGACCCGAGCACGGCGGGUCGGGCCCGGUAACGGGCGCCGGUCCUUGGGGUGAAGCCGCGUGAGCGGCCGGGCAUCUUCGCCAGUCCGAACCCGACAGGUCACCCUUCACAGGCGGUUGACGAAGGGUUA